Molecule: microRNA precursor, 121 nt
Filed under: Citrus sinensis (sweet orange)
Lineage: Eukaryota; Viridiplantae; Streptophyta; Magnoliopsida; Sapindales; Rutaceae
Description: miR395b stem-loop (csi-MIR395b)
Gene: csi-MIR395b
Rfam family: mir-395 microRNA precursor family (bases 19-101)
About the family: mir-395 was identified in both Arabidopsis thaliana and Oryza sativa computationally and was later experimentally verified. mir-395 is thought to target mRNAs coding for ATP sulphurylases. The mature sequence is excised from the 3' arm of the hairpin.
Source: miRBase by way of RNAcentral
UGACUGCACAUGCAUCAGGUGUCCCCUAGAGUUCCCCUGAACACUUCAUUGGGGACUCCUUUUAACCCUACUGAAGUGUUUGGGGGAACUCCUGGAGUCAUUUGAUAUUACUCAUGAGCGU